RNAcentral lists this ribosomal RNA (449 nucleotides) under uncultured bacterium. RNAcentral's name for it is "partial 16S ribosomal RNA". It matches the Rfam family "Bacterial small subunit ribosomal RNA", at positions 29 to 523 of the family's 1533-position model. The record is from RNAcentral.
AGUGAACGCUGGCGGCAGGCCUAACACAUGCAAGUCGAACGAACUCUUCGGAGUUAGUGGCGGACGGGUGAGUAACACGUGGGAACGUGCCUUUAGGUUCGGAAUAACUCAGGGAAACUUGUGCUAAUACCGAACGUGCCCUUCGGGGGAAAGAUUUAUCGCCUUUAGAGCGGCCCGCGUCUGAUUAGCUUGUUGGUGGGGUAAUGGCCCACCAAGGCGACGAUCAGUAGCUGGUCUGAGAGGAUGACCAGCCACAUUGGGACUGAGACACGGCCCAAACUCCUACGGGAGGCAGCAGUGGGGAAUCUUGCGCAAUGGGCGAAAGCCUGACGCAGCCAUGCCGCGUGGAUGAUGAAGGUCUUAGGAUUGUAAAAUCCUUUCACCGGUGAAGAUAAUGACUGUAGCCGGAGAAGAAGCCCCGGCUAACUUCGUGCCAGCAGCCGCCGUAA